Molecule: RNA transcript, 1919 nt
Organism: Sebastes umbrosus (honeycomb rockfish)
Lineage: Eukaryota; Metazoa; Chordata; Actinopteri; Perciformes; Sebastidae
Gene: tafa4b
Gene name: TAFA chemokine like family member 4b
Exons: 8
Source: RefSeq, a predicted model, not a curated record
GAAGAGGAAGAAGAAGAGGAGGAGGAGGAGGGUCGGCUGAGGUGUGAGUGAAUGCAGCCAUGGCCUGUACACCCUGUCCAUAGAGGAGCUACUGAGUGGAAGACAGAUCAAAGAAGACAGAGACGACCAACAGGAUGAAACUGUGGGGGAGGUCAGCUUGGCCUGUGCAGGUGGCCUUCCUCGUUGCCUUGGUGAUGCUCUGCGUUGACCCGGUGUCCGCUGGCAGCCGUAACCACCGGGGACCGACAGUCGCCUACCAGGUGAAGCAGGGGACAUGCGAGGUGGUGGCCAUCCAUCGCUGCUGUAAUAAGAAUAAGAUUGAGGAGCGCUCUCAAACCGUCAAGUGUUCCUGUUUCCCUGGGCAGGUCGCCGGCACCACCAGAGCCAGACCCUCCUGUGUGGAAGCCUCCAUCGUAGUCCAGAAGUGGUGGUGCCAGAUGCAUCCCUGUAUGGACGGAGAGGAGUGUAAGGUCCUGCCUGACCUGACUGGCUGGUCCUGCAGCACUGGCAACAAAGUCAAAACCACCAAGCUGAGAGAGGAGCGAGGAGCCGAUGGCUGACUGCAUCAGUGGACAUUAAUUGUGCAUUUGCAAGGUCACACGAUAGCAAGAGAGCCGCCGAGCCACGAGGAAACCUGAAACUCUCCAUGUGGAAAGGAUGGAUGACUCACACAUAUUUACUGUACGAUGGGGAGCAUAUCAAGGAAAGGACCACUGUCAGGUCAUCCAUCACAAAACAAUGGGAUAAAAUGUACUCAUCACAAACUACGUACACUCGGCUACACGGAAGCCGCACAUACAGCAUACACACAGUAUGCUGGUUGUUGAGACCAACGGACUACAAUCAUGGACGCCCAGGGUAAAUCCGGACACUAAUGGACUCUUUAUUUUCCCAUGAUGGACAAAACGUGGGAAAGAAACGGUCGAAUUCAAAGAGCGAUUAAGCAUUUCAAAGUAUAUAUUUCAACAAAGCAUUUGCGGAUGAGUGCGAGAUGUGAACUAAAAGCUGUGAGUGCUGCUGGACACAGUCCAGACCUGUCGUCGAUAUGUAGAGCUCACACCGCAGACGGCGGAGACGAUUUGGGAGGAAUGAAACAGAUAGCAGCUCAUAACUAGCAAAUAGCAAAUUAGCAUCAAAUUGCUCUUGUGGGUCAAGUCGCUACCAUGAAGACUGUUUUGCGGAGAGUCAUUUUGCAGUUCUAAUUAGGAAUUGCAGCGUAGGAUCAUAACAACAUAUUAAAAAUUCAUGUAAGAUAUUUGCACUAGUUGAAACCGUUUGGGAAUGUUUUGUUUUUCUAGAUAUCUCCCAUCUUUUGCUGUGGAUGUCACAUGAAAUUGAAGAGGUUUGGUGUUCUGUAGAUGAGCCUGGCGCCUCGCUCCCUCCGUCCUACAUGGCUCUCUGCAGCAGAAUCAAUAUUUGAGGACAAUUUGCGCUGCGAUGCUCCCUGGUGGCCGGGGUUCGACGCUGCAGCUCCACCCUUCAGUUCCAACAACAGACAGAGCAGAAGACCUGCCGGGGAACCGAUUCACAGCUCGUCUCAGGCGUCUAACCUCCCAAACGUCCCAUGGAGACUGGUUGCUUUCAUCUCCACAGGUUAGCAACUGGUGGGACCCAGAGGGCAGGACCUACAGAAGCAAACAAACCGCUUGGAGGACUUGAGUGCAGAAGAAGAUGCUAAUGAGAGAUGAUAGGCAGAGCUGUCUGAAGGAGAAAAACAGAGAUAGAGAGGUAUAGCAGAGAGUGUGAGCGUGUGAAGAGUAUUUUUAAGUAUGUCUUUGUUUAUGCGCUAAGCCUGGGUGGCUCCCGAGAGGCCACUUGCAUCGUCAAACCAAACGCCUCCAAUAGUCCAUCAUCACACUCGUCGGCAAUUCACACAAUCGCUACCUAGAGAGGGAGAAAUAAAGGGAUGAAACACCGUU